Molecule: ribosomal RNA, 267 nt
Filed under: uncultured prokaryote
Description: partial 16S ribosomal RNA
Rfam family: Bacterial small subunit ribosomal RNA
Source: RNAcentral
UACGUAGGUGGCAAGCGUUAUCCGGAUUUACUGGGUGUAAAGGGCGCGCAGGCGGUUCUGAAAGUCAGAUGUGAAAGAUCAAGGCUUAACUUUGACAGGUCAUCUGAAACUUUGGGACUUGAGUAUCAGAGGGGAAAGUGGAAUUCCUGGUGGAGCGGUAAAAUGCGCAGAGAUCAGGAGGAACACCGGUGGCGAAGGCGACUUUCUGGCGUGACAACUGACGCUGAGGCGCCAAAGCGUGGGGAGGCAAACAGGAUUAGAUACCCU